AUGGGGUGAAUAAUGUAGGGUAAGUAACAUUAUAUAAGGUAGCAUUGUUUAAAGUGGCUAGUGAUAUAGUGAUAUAUUUACAUCAUUUCCCAUCAAUUCCCAUUAUUAAAGUGGCUGGAGUUGAGUCAGUGUCAGUGUGUUGGCAGCAGCCACUCAAUGUUAGACCCCUGGUAAAUCUUCCAAUGAUAUGCCUACAAAUACGUCACAAUGCUGCAGACACCUUGGAGAAAUGAUAGAAAGGGCAGGCUCAUUCCCGGCGCAUUCACAGCCAUAUAAGGAGACAAUGGAAAACAGAGCUUCAAAAAUUCUGCCCAUUUCCUGGUUGAAGUUUCAUCUUGUUUUCGCCUGUAGCAUGAGUUCUGUGGCACUCACAGAUAAUAUCUUUGCCGUUUUGGAAACCUUAGAGUGAUUUCUUUCCAAAGCUGCCAAUUAUAUGCAUAGUCGAGCAUCUUUUCGUGACAAAAUAUUGCGCUUAAAACGGGCACGUUUUUUAAUCCAUAAAUUAAAAGAGCGCCCCCUAUAUCCAAGAAGUUAAUAAGAUCAUAUCGUUCUCAGAAGUCCCGUUAUAAUGCGCUGUUGUAUUCACAGCCUAUUGAUCUGUGGAGAUUCCCAAUAAAUGGGUUGCAUCUCAUUGUAGCCUGUCUUGAUAUCGUCUAUUUUAAUUACCACAUUUUCCAACUUAUUUACUCAUGUAAAUAACACCUUGAAUGAAGUGUUUGUGGUAUUGAAGUGGCAGACUGGGUUUGGGCCUUUCCAGAACCUAUUCAGAAAGAGGACACAGACUGAAUAUAGCGAUGAAUAAUGAUAAAGGGUUCCUCUAUAUCCAACCCUUAAUUAAUGGUGCCACUCUUAAUCUGGAUGAACAAAUUCAGCACAUCAAUCAGAUCAAUUCAUCAGUAAAUGAUUUUGAAUAUCAAUAUUAGGUCAUAACUCUGUGUGUGUGUGUGUGUGUGUGUGUGUGUGUGUGUGUGUGUGUGUGUGUGUGUGUGUGUGUGUGUGUGUGUGUUCCUGGCUCCUGUCAGCAGCAGACGGAAUCCUAGAGCUCCUUCAGACUCUCAGAGUCUUUCUGGGUGACCACUCAGGGCGAAAACACACACCCACAGCUGCUGCUAGGAAGGAGAGAGGAGAGGGAAGGAGAUGGGAUGAGAGUAGAGGAGAGAGAGUUGAGGAGAAGUAAGGAGAGGGGAGGGGAGAGAGCAGAGGAGAGGAGAGGGAAGGAAAUGGGAUGAGAGUAGAGGAGAAAGAGGUGAGGAGAAUUGAGCAGAGGGGAGAGAGCAGUGGAGAGAGCAGAGGAGAGGGGAGAGGGGAGAGGGGAGGGGAGAUAGCAGAGGAGAGGGGAGAGAGCAGAUGAGAGGGGAGAGAGCAGAGGAAAGAGCAGAGGAGAGGGGAGAGAGCAGAGGAGAGGGGAGAGAGCAGAGGAGAGGGGAGAGAGCAGAGGAGAGGGGAGAGAGCAGAGGAGAGGGGAGAGAGCAGAUGAGAGAGCAGAGCAGGAGAGGGGAGAGAGCAGAGGAGAGGGGAGAGAGCAGUGGAGAGAGAGCAGAUGAGAGGGGAGAGAGCAGAGGAGAGAGGAGAGGAGAGGAGAGAG
Oncorhynchus tshawytscha (Chinook salmon) is the source of this 1585-nucleotide long non-coding RNA. NCBI's taxonomy places the organism in Eukaryota, Metazoa, Chordata, Actinopteri, Salmoniformes, Salmonidae. The record is from Ensembl.